Molecule: ribosomal RNA, 492 nt
Filed under: uncultured bacterium
Lineage: Bacteria
Description: partial 16S ribosomal RNA
Rfam family: Bacterial small subunit ribosomal RNA
Source: RNAcentral
AGUGAACGCUGGCGGUAGGCCUAACACAUGCAAGUCGAACGGCAGCACAGUAAGAGCUUGCUCUUACGGGUGGCGAGUUGCGGACGGGUGAGGAAUACAUCGGAAUCUACUUUUUCGUGGGGGAUAACGUAGGGAAACUUACGCUAAUACCGCAUACGACCUACGGGUGAAAGCAGGGGAUCUUCGGACCUUGCGCGAUUGCAUGAGCCGAUGUCGGAUUAGCUAGUUGGCGGGGUAAAGGCCCACCAAGGCGACGAUCCGUAGCUGGUCUGAGAGGAUGAUCAGCCACACUGGAACUGAGACACGGUCCAGACUCCUACGGGAGGCAGCAGUGGGGAAUAUUGGACAAUGGGCGCAAGCCUGAUCCAGCCAUACCGCGUGGGUGAAGAAGGCCUUCGGGUUGUAAAGCCCUUUUGUUGGGAAAGAAAAGCAGCAGGUUAAUACCCCGCUGUUCUGACGGUACCCAAAGAAUAAGCACCGGCUAAAUUCGUG